GCGCCAAUAGUCUAAUGGAAGGACGUCGGCUUCCCAAGCCGAAAAUUCGGGUUCGAAUCCCGAUUGGCGCA
Molecule: transfer RNA, 71 nt
Filed under: Candidatus Rehaiarchaeum fermentans
Lineage: Archaea; Nanobdellati; Candidatus Parvarchaeota
Description: tRNA-Gly
Rfam family: tRNA
About the family: Transfer RNA (tRNA) molecules are approximately 80 nucleotides in length. Their secondary structure includes four short double-helical elements and three loops (D, anti-codon, and T loops).
Source: RNAcentral